RNAcentral lists this ribosomal RNA (497 nucleotides) under uncultured bacterium. RNAcentral's name for it is "partial 16S ribosomal RNA". It matches the Rfam family "Bacterial small subunit ribosomal RNA", at positions 28 to 507 of the family's 1533-position model. The record is from RNAcentral.
GAUGAACGCUGGCGGCGUGCCUAAUACAUGCAAGUCGAGCGAACGGACGAGAAGCUUGCUUUUCUGAUGUUAGCGGCGGACGGGUGAGUAACACGUGGAUAACCUACCUAUAAGACUGGGAUAACUUCGGGAAACCGGAGCUAAUACCGGAUAAUAUUUUGAACCGCAUGGUUCAAAAGUGAAAGACGGUCUUGCUGUCACUUAUAGAUGGAUCCGCGCUGCAUUAGCUAGUUGGUAAGGUAACGGCUUACCAAGGCAACGAUGCAUAGCCGACCUGAGAGGGUGAUCGGCCACACUGGAACUGAGACACGGUCCAGACUCCUAAGGGAGGCAGCAGUAGGGAAUCGUCCGCAAUGGGCGAAAGCCUGACGGAGCAACGCCGCGUGAGAGAUGAAGGUCUUCGGAUCGUAAAACUCUGUUAUUAGGGAAGAACAUAUGUGUAAGUAACUGUGCACAUCUUGACGGUACCUAAUCAGAAAGCCACGGCUAACUACGUG